GGGAGCGUGGCAGCGUGGCUGGAUGCGGGCAGCGUUUGCGAUCCUUUGCGAAACUGGUCAAUGCGGAACCUCGUUCGCGGGCUUGAGUCCCGCCGCUCCCU
RNAcentral lists this transfer RNA (101 nucleotides) under Zoogloeaceae bacterium. RNAcentral's name for it is "tRNA-OTHER". The record is from RNAcentral. Lineage: Bacteria; Pseudomonadati; Pseudomonadota; Betaproteobacteria; Rhodocyclales; Zoogloeaceae.